AAGAGAAGGAUGAGCUGAUACGGCUAACGUUCUGGCACCAAGCCUCUCUUCUCCAUGGACCAUAAUGCGAGAAAAGCUACCAAGUCACUUAUCCAUCACUGCACUGAGUUGUAAACAGAUACGGUGCAAGGCAAGGCAUCGUUCUCUCUGAAAGCAUUUACUGCAUCUUUGGCAGAACACGAGGUGCUGAUAUUAUGACUUGAGAAAUGGGCACUGCAGUGGUGCCAGAUCUUCAGAGGACAUUCAGACUAUUGGUCCAAUUAUUGGGAAGGAUUGGCCUGAACUGAUCAUCAGAGACCAUGAGGGAGGAAAAACCCUAAAGAGGAACAGUGGAUAUAUCAGGAGUAGUUCCAGCACUGUUGAAGCACAUGACUUGGAUCCAGAAUUCCUUAUCUGAUGGAUGUUCUCCAGGGCGGUAUUUCUUUAUGCUAUAGAUUUGAUACUUGAUUGGGCCGACUUAUGACUAGCCCUCCCUUUCCUGGCUCGAGGUGGAAGGACCGUGAUUAGUUCUCCCAGCUGGAUCAUCGCGGUUCCUGCAAUUCCCGUUCCAGAGCUGUAUGUUUUGCAUUACAAACCUUUGGCCUAACAACAUUUUCGUGAGGGUGGAGUUGAUGAUCUGGCUAAGAGGGAAUAGCUUGUUCGUUUCUAGUUUUCCUAAAAUUAUUUCAUAAUCGGAGCGGCUAAGAACUCUCCACCUAAUUCAAACACCCAGAAGGAAUGUCCCACACAGACGAAGAUAAAAUCUUGUUCUCCAUUGUCCUAAAGUGCAGGAAGCAGAAUUGAGUUUAGAAGAGGGGUAGGCAACACUUUUAGGACCAGUAAACUCUGAGCAAAGCUGGCUCAGGAAUUCUGGGAAUUGAAAUCCACAUAAAGCCCAGCCUGGGUUAGAAGAAAGGAGAUUCCAACUUAAUUCGGGAAAAGGCCCCUAAUUUCUUAUUAAUAGAGGCAGUUUAAGAGUGCAAUAAAUAUGAGGAGGUGGUAGUCUCACCUUCACUGGAUGUGCAAAGUAGAGGCUAUAUCUACUGUACAUCUCUGUCCUGGAUGCUUUAAUUCAGGGGUCUCCAACCUUGGCAAUUUUAAGA
Molecule: non-coding RNA, 1082 nt
Organism: Pantherophis guttatus
Lineage: Eukaryota; Metazoa; Chordata; Lepidosauria; Squamata; Colubridae
Source: RefSeq, a predicted model, not a curated record